This 1412-nucleotide long non-coding RNA is filed under the name Monodelphis domestica (gray short-tailed opossum). RNAcentral describes it as "lncRNA (ENSMODG00000030275.2)". Lineage: Eukaryota; Metazoa; Chordata; Mammalia; Didelphimorphia; Didelphidae. The record is from RNAcentral.
AAAUAAAAUUGUCACUACCUAAAUGUUUUACCCCUUUGUUCUUAUUUUAAAGUUUUGUAAAAAGGAAUUCUUUAUUCUUUUUUUUUUUUUUUAAUUUAACGGGGGACCUGGAGGUCCUCUUACCAUAGAGAUGAGUGAGGAUAAACCAGCCCACAGUGACAGGAAGUAGGACCCAGGAGCCCCCUGCUGGGCCAACAGCAGUUGGUCAGGGCUGUCAGUUGCUGACAGUCAGGAGAGUCAGUUGCUGACAAUUAGGGCUGGGAGUUGCAGGGAAGUUGGCUGCUUGGAGAUGAAAUAUGUGAAAACAAAAUCUUCAGCAGAGAAAAUAUACAUCCUAACAAUCAAUGGCAGCAAAGACAAAUAUCUUGGAGCACAUGGACCAUUCUCAUUGGAUUCAAACUUUCAUCAGUGAGAUGGAUAUUUAUACCUAUAGGAAUUACGUCUAAUGAUGUAGAUAUGAAUCUAUCCAUACAGACUUCUUCAUUAUUAUUUAUUUAUCCUAAAGGGUCCAUCCAAUGUGUUGAAAGUCUUCCUCAAGCACUUCAAUCAUAUCAAGAGAAGAAAUGGAGAAUUCUGUAGAUAUGUAUACAGAAUAUAUUUGUGUGCACAUGUGUUUGUAAAAUCUCAGUCAUUUGUCUCUCUUUCUGGCAUGCAUCUUUUAUUUCUAAUCAUCUUUAAAGUUAUUUGUUGAUCAUAACUUGAAACCUACACAUGCCUAUAAUUUGCCUUUUCAUUGCCAUCUGGAUAACAUUAAUUUUUAUUUCUUUGGAGGCAAUGGUAUUCCAAGAUUAACUGCCUUGUAGCAAUAGUGGUAAAAUAUCCAAAUUGAAAAGAUGACUCUUUGCUGAUAUGGGAAACUUAGGUUCACAAAACUGCUUUGGGAUUUCCCAAAACAGUCUAGUCCCUUGUUCUCUUAAUUUUCAGUUCUGGACCCCACUCAUUUUCCAUCAGAAUUGUAUUUAUUAGCUAUACAACAUUUUAAACAAGUUGUGUGAGGUGCUAAAACCUGUGUAAUAGACAUUCUUCAUCAAUUUGAUUUUCCUUGUCAUGGUGAACAGGCCAAACUCUUUUGAGUAAUUUUCAGUCCCUUCAAGAAAGUUCUUUAAUAUGUUAAUUAUUUUAUAUUGAUAUAUACCCAGUAAUUUAUUAAUAUCAUUAUCAGAGUUGAUCUUUUCUCUGAAGAUUUACAAACCCACUGGAAAUUAAAAAUAUCCAAAUAUAUUUAUUUGGGGGAUAGAUGUUUUGUAGUUUGAGGAUAAUGAACAGAAUUUUUCAACUUAUUAUGCUAUGGUGACUAUAUGUAUAUUUAUAUAUGUGUGUAACAUAUACACAUGCAUUCACAUGUACAUAUGAAUUUACAUAUGUUCAUAGAUGUAUUUAUUGUUUUAAUAAAAUUUAUUUUAUACAAUCUC